CACGAAACUAGAUAGGUAGCCCUACCUACGACUAGAAAAGUAUCGUAUUUUUUCUUCCAGUAAAUCUUCCACUCAUUCCUUCCAUUAUGGAAUAUCAUUUGGAGUGUAUUUUCCCUCUCAAAAAAGGCUUCGCCCUCACUUCACUGAACUUAUUGGAAAUGCCUAGGACAGAGUUCAUUCACUUGCCCAGCAGCCCUACUCCUCAUAGUUGAUCCGAAUUUCUAUCCCUGAUUGACUCAAUCAGGAAGAGGAAGACUUGAUAAAAGAUGAAAAGAAAGGAUUGAUUACCUUUUGAAGUCAAUAAAAGAAAGGAAAGGGCUAUUUAUGAGUUUAUGUAGAUGAAGUUUCAGAUUAUUGGAUGAGCGGAACAUCUUUGAGACAAAUCAUCUCUACCCGGGUACAUAGCUUCAUCCAAACCAUGGAUCCACGAAUUGUUGACUCGCUCUAGAAAAGAGCUUCGUAGUUGGGAGCUCUAAACUGAUGAUCGAUAUGGUUUCCUAGGAUGAGAACUAUGGUUUACUACUUGAAAGAAAGUUGUUUUAUCUUUUUUUUCACUUUUUGAGGUGUUUUGCCUAGUCUGAAUUUCCCCUUCUUCUAUUUGAUCAAGAUGGAUAGCAAAAAAGCACGAAUAGGCCUACUGGGAUGGAAGGAGAGAAGGACUGAACGAGAAAAGGAAAUACCUCUUUGUUUACCUUGGAAUGAAUUGCUCAACUACUUAGAUCGGAAGAGCACAC
Molecule: long non-coding RNA, 734 nt
Organism: Triticum aestivum (bread wheat)
Lineage: Eukaryota; Viridiplantae; Streptophyta; Magnoliopsida; Poales; Poaceae
Exons: 3
Source: RefSeq, a predicted model, not a curated record